AUUGAACGCUGGCGGAAUGCUUUACACACGCAAGUCGAACGGCAGCACGGACUUCGGUCCGGUGGCGAGUGGCGAACGGGUGAGUAAUGUAUCGGAACGUGCCCAGUCGUGGGGGAUAACGUAGUGAAAAUUACGCUAAUACCGCAUACGAUCUAUGGAUGAAAGCGGGGGAUCGCAAGACCUCGCGCGAUUGGCGCGGCCGAUAUCAGAUUAGGUAGUUGGUGGGGUAAAGGCCCACCAAGCCAACGAUCUGUAGCUGGUCUGAGAGGACGACCAGCCACACUGGAACUGAGACACGGUCCAGACUCCUACGGGAGGCAGCAGUGGGGAAUUUUGGACAAUGGGCGAAAGCAUGAUCCAGCCAUUCCGCGUGCAGGAUGAAGGCCCUCGGGUUGUAAACUGCUUUUGUACAGAACGAAAAGGUUUCUACUAAUACUAGGAGCUCAUGACGGUACUGUAAGAAUAAGCACCGGCUAACUACGUGCCAGCCGCCGCCGUAA
RNAcentral lists this ribosomal RNA (500 nucleotides) under uncultured bacterium. RNAcentral describes it as "partial 16S ribosomal RNA". It matches the Rfam family "Bacterial small subunit ribosomal RNA", at positions 30 to 523 of the family's 1533-position model. The record is from RNAcentral.